RNAcentral lists this ribosomal RNA (245 nucleotides) under uncultured Corynebacterium sp. RNAcentral describes it as "partial 16S ribosomal RNA". It matches the Rfam family "Bacterial small subunit ribosomal RNA", at positions 796 to 1041 of the family's 1533-position model. The record is from RNAcentral. Lineage: Bacteria; Bacillati; Actinomycetota; Actinomycetes; Mycobacteriales; Corynebacteriaceae.
CAUGCCGUAAACGGUGGGCGCUAGGUGUAGGGGUCUUCCACGACUUCUGUGCCGUAGCUAACGCAUUAAGCGCCCCGCCUGGGGAGUACGGCCGCAAGGCUAAAACUCAAAGGAAUUGACGGGGGCCCGCACAAGCGGCGGAGCAUGUGGAUUAAUUCGAUGCAACGCGAAGAACCUUACCUGGGCUUGACAUAUACGGGAUCGCCGCAGAGAUGUGGUUUCCCUUGUGGCUCGUAUACAGGUGG